GAGGUAUCCUACAACUGAGAUGAAUAAAAACUAAAUGUUAUUAUUUAUUUUAGCACCAAAAUGGAGACAGGCCUGUUUAUCUAUGCUAAACUGAGACAAUAAAACUAUUUAGCUAUAAUUAAAUCUAAUCUCCAGUGUCUUUCUGCUCAGGCAGGAUUAAAAGCAGGUCUCUCAGCCAAUGAGUUGGAGGAAUUUCUGACUCUCUCCAAAUCUCAGCCAAUCAAAGACAGGCUGAAGAGUGUCACACGGGAAGCACUGGAGUAUAAAUGCUUUGGUCUUCCAUUCAUCGUGUGUCAUGUGAAUGGGAAGGCUGAGGUCUUCUUUGGUUCUGACAAAUUUGAGCUCAUGGCUUAUUUCAUUGGGGAGAAGUGGAUGGGGCCUUACCCUAACAAGCCCACAGCCACAAUGUGAUCACUACUCCUCCAUACUCAAUAUCCAUAUUCAACAGCACACACACAAACACAGAGAUUUACAUUUAAAGGGGAAAUUUAAUAAAAUUUUCACUUUUUGGGUGUUUUUUUUUUUUUGCAUUUAGUUAGGUUUCUGGUGUGUCUGCCAGCUCGGAAAAGCUAAAAAGAAAACAAGCAGCCAGUUUGUUGAGUCUGAAACUGUGUCAUCCAGUGAGAAAUUUCAAUUUGCAGCCAGUUUCUAUGUAGCUAUUUGAAUAAGACCACCUCCGAGCCACAUGUUACAGACACUUCAUGAAGGCCCUAAAGAAUCACCAACUUGUGGAAAAUGGUGUGGCAUUCGUUGGCAGCUGCCACCCUAAGAAAAUACUUAUCUGCCACCUAGAAUUAUGCAGAACUAGUCUGUGUUUAUUGUGUUCAUGAAUAAAGGAACAAGGAAAAAUAGAUCUAUUUUGUUGUCAUUUGUUAAGAAAAUUUUAACAAAAGAUAAUAAUGCUUGUUUUGAUGGCUCGCUCAUUUGCUGCCACCUACUGGCGUAAAUGUAACAUCAAUGAAGGAAUCAGAAUCUGAAAAUCCUUUUUUUGGUCUGAAUCAAAUGACUGGAGUCACUGAAAAUCAACAACGAGAAUCAUAACUACAGGGCUGUUACGAUUCCUCGUAACUUACUCCAUUAUAUAUAAGUGGCGCAUUCCACUGACGAGAAUUCAUGAACCGCAUUAUAAAAAUCAUAAUAAAGC
Molecule: long non-coding RNA, 1144 nt
Filed under: Sinocyclocheilus grahami
Lineage: Eukaryota; Metazoa; Chordata; Actinopteri; Cypriniformes; Cyprinidae
Description: lncRNA (ENSSGRG00000003234.1)
Source: RNAcentral